RNAcentral lists this long non-coding RNA (544 nucleotides) under Monodelphis domestica (gray short-tailed opossum). RNAcentral's name for it is "lncRNA (ENSMODG00000037760.1)". Lineage: Eukaryota; Metazoa; Chordata; Mammalia; Didelphimorphia; Didelphidae. The record is from RNAcentral.
AGUUUGGGUCCUUCAUCCUGCAGCAAACACACCACCUUCCCACUACUUAGUUCCUUCAAGGCCAGGUCGUUGCUGUUAACUUGUCUUCUCUCAGUGAGCAAAAUCUUACCUUCUACUUGACAAAGAAAAUCAAGACUAUCCAUCCUGAAAUUUUUCAUCAUUAUUCCCCACCUAAACACAUCUCAAAUCUUCACUCAUCCUUUUCUCCUUGGAAGAGGGAUGGAUCCCUUCUCUUUGAAAAGAUUCUCCACUUUAAGGAAAGCUUCCAGACCAAUCAUGUUUUAAUUCUUCUCCAGGUGACAGAUAUUCUUGUUGAUUCUCCAGAUUUUGUCUUUCAUGGCAAAGAAGUCUCCUUACACUGUAAGUUCAUUCAUCUCUAACUUUUCAGACCUUAGGAAUACUCUGCUCCUGUAGCCCAAUCUUCUGAUCGACUGGUUCUUCUUAAAUUUACAUUUUAUGGAAAAUGAAUGUUCAAGUUAACCAUGACUUCAUUUCUCUACAGGCCCCACUCCCUGACACUUUGGAACCCACAUUUCCUUUUCAG